CCUACGGGAGGCAGCAGUGAGGAAUAUUGGUCAAUGGCCGGAAGGCUGAACCAGCCAAGCCGCGUGAAGGACGAAGGUGUCAAGCAUUUUAAACUUCUUUUGUCAAGGGACAAAAUCAGGCUCGAGAGCCUGACCGAGGUUACUUGAAGAUAAAGCAUCGGCUAACUUCGGGCCAGCAGCCGCGGGAAGACGGAGGAUGCGAGCGUUAUCCUGAUUUAUUGGGCGUAAAGGGCUCGUAGGCGGGUCGUCGGGUACGGUGUGAAAGUCCAUCGCUUAACGGAGGAUCCGCGCCGGGUACGGGCGGGCUUGAGUGCGGUAGGGGAGACUGGAAUUCCAGGUGUAGCGGUGGAAUGUGUAGAUAUCGGGAGGAACACCAGUGGCGAAGGCAGGUCUCUGGGCCGUUACUGACGCUGAGGAGCGAAAGCGUGGGGAGCGAACAGGAUUAGAUACCCUUGUAGUC
This 460-nucleotide ribosomal RNA is filed under the name uncultured bacterium. RNAcentral's name for it is "partial 16S ribosomal RNA". It matches the Rfam family "Bacterial small subunit ribosomal RNA", at positions 338 to 795 of the family's 1533-position model. The record is from RNAcentral.